UCGAGAAUCUUCCGCAAUGCGCGCAAGCGUGACGGAGCGACGCCGCGUGGGGGAUGAAGGCCUUCGGGUUGUAAACCCCUGUCACCUGGGAAGAAAAGGUGGCUGUUAAUAGCAGUCCAUCUUGACGUUACCAGGAGAGGAAGCACCGGCUAAAUACGUGCCAGCAGCCGCGGUAAUACGUAUGGUGCAAACGUUGUUCGGAAUCACUGGGCUUAAAGAGCACGUAGGCGGUUGAGAAAGUCUGCUGUGAAAUCCCCCGGCUCAACCGGGGAACUGCAGCAGAAACUUCUUAGCUAGAGUGUAGGAGGGGAGAGUGGAAUUCCUGGUGGAGCGGUGAAAUGCGUAGAUAUCAGGAGGAACGCCGGUGGCGAAAGCGACUCUCUGGCCUACUACUGACGCUGAGGUGCGAAAGCUAGGGGAGCGAACGGGAUUAGAUACCCGUGUAGUCC
This 449-nucleotide ribosomal RNA is filed under the name uncultured prokaryote. RNAcentral's name for it is "bacterial SSU rRNA". It matches the Rfam family "Bacterial small subunit ribosomal RNA", at positions 355 to 796 of the family's 1533-position model. The record is from RNAcentral.